GUCCAAAUCACACAACACAGACCGCGGCCGCGUCGAGGUCAACGGCGAUGGCCAGGCACGACUAACUGGAAAAGGGAGCGCAGAUAGGAUGGGUUCGGAGCUUGCGAGCGAGGCCAGGGCGGUCCACACCGGCAAGGGAAGGCUCUCGCACCCCAGCUAAAACAAAUCGUUUAGGUGAGCAAAUCGUAACAAAAAAUAAUAAUUUUUUGAGGGGUUCGUAAUAACAACAACAAGUAAACAGGCCACAUUUCCGGCCGUCUCUACUCCUCCCCGGCGGCGUGGGCCCGAGAUGCAGGCGUGGUUCUCCGGCUCCGGGCCCUCGCCCUCCUUCUCCUCGUCGGCGGCGUCUUCGCAGCCGCCGCCGUCUCUGCUCGCGGAAUGGAACUCCUACGCCGCCGCCCGCUCCGCCGAGGAGGACGUCGGCGGAGGAUUCGGGAUCGACAUCGAGGCCGCCGUCCGCUCCGCCAACGACCGCGUCACCGGCACCUUCGGCGUGGUAUCUAAAGGAGUUAGAGGGUUCCCUGGCAGCUUCCAGUCCUCAACAAGCAGUGUUCCAUCUGGCAAAUCUCUCAUGUAUUUCGGCCUUUUUCUUGCCAGCGGCAUUUUCCUAGUUUUCAUCGCGUUCACAAUAUUCCUGCCAGUCAUGGUAAUAAUGCCUCAAAAGUUUGCGAUCUGUUUCACUAUGGGAUGUGCCUUCAUCAUUGGAUCUUUCUUUGCAUUGAAAGGGCCCAAGAAUCAGCUCUUUCAUAUGAUUUCCAGAGAGAGGUUACCUUUCACCAUUGGAUUUGUUGGCAGCAUGUUUGCUACCAUCUAUGUGUCAAUGGUGCUCCAUAGCUACAUACUUUCUGUUUUCUUCUCUUGUCUUCAGAUCCUUGCGCUAGUAUACUAUGCCAUCUCAUACUUCCCUGGCGGGUCUGCUGGAAUGAAGUUUCUGUCAUCUACCCUUGUGGCCUCAGUGUUGAGAUGCUUCAGGCGAUGAGUUCAUCCGUUAGUUACUCUCACCCAUCUGUCUCAGCCUGUGUUCAGCUCAGUAACAUUUUUUGGCUUUUGCUUUUGACAUGGAGAGAGUGUGUCAAAGAUGACCCUGGAGCUUGUGUUCACCGAUAUACAUGCAUGUCCAACUUACCGAUAGUAUUACUGAUUCCAUGGAAACCAUGCUCGAUGAGAUGCUUUGUUCUUUAUGGAGACGUGUGGAAUCGAAAUAUAAUAGACAGACAGAUAGUUUGUGAAUUUUGUAACGUCGCGGCAUGCCUGGCAUUCGAUCUUGUAUCAUGUACUCCCUUGGUUACAUCACAUUACCCUGCCAACUUCCCGGAAAUCCGACGACGAUAAC
This 1333-nucleotide ribosomal RNA is filed under the name Triticum aestivum (bread wheat). RNAcentral's name for it is "partial small subunit ribosomal RNA". Lineage: Eukaryota; Viridiplantae; Streptophyta; Magnoliopsida; Poales; Poaceae. The record is from RNAcentral.